This is an RNA transcript of Cucumis sativus (cucumber), 1861 nucleotides long. It is a transcript of the gene named calmodulin-binding protein 60 G, with no coding region annotated. Lineage: Eukaryota; Viridiplantae; Streptophyta; Magnoliopsida; Cucurbitales; Cucurbitaceae. The record is from RefSeq and is a predicted model, not a curated record. The transcript is spliced from 9 exons.
CAAAUUUCUGAAGUUUCUUUGUUGACAUUGAAUAAUAUUUCUCUCACAAAUGGACACCCAACGUGAUGUGAACCCUAGCUUGAAUUCGUCGAUUAUCUCAGCCGCUCCUUCUCAACGUAUCGGAACUCUAUGGAUCCGAUCGCCGCUGCAAAGAACAAGAAGAAGAGAACCUUUUCUUAUGAAGCUACUUCAAAUGUUCAAGAUGACUCCGUCGCACACCAUCCUGCCUCUUUCACUUUUCCAACUAGAAUUGACGCUAUGUGUAAGUCCAUUGUUGAGGAUGCGGUUACUCGAUCGCGGUCUCAAAUGGAAGAACCUAGGAUUGGAGAAGUAGUUAAGCGAUUCUAUGAUGAAAUAUGGCCGAAAGUGGAAAAUGAUUUUCGUCAACAGGUGUUCAAAGAAGUACAGAGGAUGAUACACUCUGCCAUUCACUCCGCUAUUUCACCAUCACUAAGCAUACAACAUAGGAGCGAACAAGAGGAAAUACUUAAGCCAUCUAAAACAUUGAAGCGCAGAUUAUUUUUUCUCAAUUCAUUUCCCUCUGUCAUUUUCACCAACAACGAAAUAAAAUCUGAAGAUGGUGAGCCAUUGAAAGUUGCAAUUUGUGAUACCACCAACUGCAACUCUAUUGUCUCGACCAGUCCUUUAUCGUCUGUCCAAGUCGAGUUGUGCAUCCUCCCUGGUGAGUUUGAUUCUAGCAAUCGACGAGAUGAAGAAACACCAUGGACAUCGAGUUAUUUCAACACAAGCAUCUUGACCCCAAGAGAUGGGAAACGUCCUUUGAUCAUUGGUAAUGAUCGCCAAGUUUACCUAAAAGAUGGAGUUGGGUUCAUCAACAAUUUGAUCAUCACUGACAAUUCAAGUUGGAUGAAAUCAAAGAAGUUCAGAUUGGGAGCUAAAAUUACAGAUGAAAGAAUUCCAGCCGGGUUUGGUCGAAUUGGAGAAGCUGUAUCCCAACCUUUUAGAGUCAUGGAUCAACGGGGGGAAGUGAACCAAAAGCAUCACCCUCCACGUAUGGAUGAUGAAGUAUGGCGAUUGGAAGGAAUUGCGAAAUAUGGUAUCUAUCACAAAAACUUGUCUUCCCAAGGCAUAAAGACUGUGGGGGAUUUCUUGAAGGCUUAUCAUCAAAAUAAUAAUCCCAACACUUUGAGGACGAUGCUGGGGAAGAGAGUGUUAGACAAGACAUGGAAGAUGAUGGUUCAAAAUGCUGAGGAGUGUGUUGUUCCAAUUGAUAAUAAUCAAAUCGUUCAGGCCAAUGGUCCAGUGAAAUUUAAUCACGUCAUGGAUGACUCCGCAAUUAAAGACUUUGGAUUGAUGUCAGAUUUUAUUGAAUGGCCUGACGUUACUGAAGAAUUUUUUCUCCCUGUUCAAGGGGUUCUUCAUAGUCUUCUUCAAUGAUCUCCCAAAGAUCUUGAGAAAUUAUAAAAAUGGUUCAUUUGAGAAAUGGCACUGCAAUACUGAAUUUUUUAAAGGACUACAAUGUUGAGUUUGAAAAGUCAAGAACCGAUAUGAGUUGAAAAGCCAAAACUCAAGGAGUUAUAUAGCUUAAGCUCAAAUGUUGCCCAAGAAGUACGCUUUUUUUUUUUAUAUAUAUAUUUUAUCUUUUAAUAUGUAGCUGAAGCUUCAAACAUUUGUGAAGUGGAUGAUGAAACUCAGUAUCAAAAACUUCAGAUCAAGGUUAGGCCGAAACCCAAGUGAACUCCAACAAAUGGUCAUAUAUUAUCUUAUAAUUUGUAUGAUCAACUCUUGUUUUUAAUACAUAAUGGUCAAGGGGAAACUUGUUUGAUUGAUUUAUAUAUGCAAGUAAUGUUCUACAACUAUCAUUUCGUUAAUUAUAUAUCUAUGAUUAUGUGGCUGCUCA